AUUGAACGCUGGCGGCAUGCUUUACACAUGCAAGUCGAACGGCAGCGCGGGGCAACCUGGCGGCGAGUGGCGAACGGGUGAGUAAUACAUCGGAACGUACCCAGAAGUGGGGGAUAACGUAGCGAAAGUUACGCUAAUACCGCAUACGUUCUACGGAAGAAAGUGGGGGAUCUUCGGACCUCAUGCUUUUGGAGCGGCCGAUGUCUGAUUAGCUAGUUGGUGAGGUAAAGGCUCACCAAGGCGACGAUCAGUAGCUGGUCUGAGAGGACGACCAGCCACACUGGGACUGAGACACGGCCCAGACUCCUACGGGAGGCAGCAGUGGGGAAUUUUGGACAAUGGGCGCAGGCCUGAUCCAGCAAUGCCGCGUGAGUGAAGAAGGCCUUCGGGUUGUAAAGCUCUUUUGUCAGGGAAGAAACGGCUGGGGUUAACACCCCUGGCUAACGACGGUACCUGAAGAAUAAGCACCGGCUAACUACGUGCCAGCCGCCGCCGUAA
This 498-nucleotide ribosomal RNA is filed under the name uncultured bacterium. RNAcentral describes it as "partial 16S ribosomal RNA". It matches the Rfam family "Bacterial small subunit ribosomal RNA", at positions 30 to 523 of the family's 1533-position model. The record is from RNAcentral.